GAUGAACGCUGGCGGCGUGCCUAAUACAUGCAAGUCGAGCGAACAGACGAGGAGCUUGCUCCUCUGACGUUAGCGGCGGACGGGUGAGUAACACGUGGAUAACCUACCUAUAAGACUGGGAUAACUUCGGGAAACCGGAGCUAAUACCGGAUAAUAUAUUGAACCGCAUGGUUCAAUAGUGAAAGACGGUUUUGCUGUCACUUAUAGAUGGAUCCGCGCCGCAUUAGCUAGUUGGUAAGGUAACGGCUUACCAAGGCAACGAUGCGUAGCCGACCUGAGAGGUUGAUCGGCCACACUGGAACUGAGACACGGUCCAGACUCUUACGGGAGGCAGCAGUAGGGAAUCUUCCGCAAUGGGCGAAAGCCUGACGGAGCAACGCCGCGUGAGUGAUGAAGGUCUUCGGAUCGUAAAACUCUGUUAUUAGGGAAGAACAAAUGUGUAAGUAACUAUGCACGUCUUGACGGUACCUAAUCAGAAAGCCACGGCUAACUACGUG
RNAcentral lists this ribosomal RNA (497 nucleotides) under uncultured bacterium. Its description in RNAcentral is "partial 16S ribosomal RNA". It matches the Rfam family "Bacterial small subunit ribosomal RNA", at positions 28 to 507 of the family's 1533-position model. The record is from RNAcentral.